Molecule: ribosomal RNA, 418 nt
Filed under: uncultured bacterium
Lineage: Bacteria
Description: bacterial SSU rRNA
Rfam family: Bacterial small subunit ribosomal RNA
Source: RNAcentral
GAUGCAGCCAUGCCGCGUGUGUGAAGAAGGCCUUCGGGGUUGUAAAGCACUUUCAGUAGGGAGGAAGGUAGUGUAGUUAACACCUGCAUUAUUUGACGUUACCUACAGAAGAAGCACCGGCUAACUCCGUGCCAGCAGCCGCGGUAAUACGGAGGGUGCGAGCGUUAAUCGGAAUUACUGGGCGUAAAGCGCAUGCAGGCGGCCUGUUAAGUCAGAUGUGAAAGCCCGGGGCUUAACCUCGGAAUUGCAUUUGAAACUGGCAGGCUAGAGUCUUGUAGAGGGGGGUAGGAAUUUCAGGUGUAGCGGUGAAAUGCGUAGAGAUCUGAAGGAAUACCAGUGGCGAAGGCGGCCCCCUGGACAAAGACUGACGCUCAGAUGCGAAAGCGUGGGGAGCAAACAGGAUUAGAUACCCUGGUAG